GCCAGGGCGACGGAAACACCGCGCGACUCACGCUUGUGGUGUUGAUUUGCUCUCUUUGUACCUUUUGUUUUUAACCAACUGUAAUCAACCAGCUGGAGCAGGGAUAAAACCAACUAAAGACUCCCUCGCUACCGUGAGCUUCGUGCAUCCGGGACACCCAGACGGCCUGGCAUCCUGCCCUGGUGACGCCGCCCCCAAGCCCUCCAGCUCCCCACAGAUGAUGCUACCCUCAUCUGAGAGACUGCAGAGGAUACCAUAUAUCACAGAAAACCCACCACACUGCUGGCCCUUAGAGAAGAAAUUAAAAACGCAUGUGCGGCGAUCUCAAAGACCAAGGUUACCCAAGCAGCAGCCGGCUGUACUAAUAAAUGUCUGGAAGCUGAUGGCCACCAUUCUGAGCACUUCUUGUAAUUAGAGGCCAAAGAUGACUUGUGUCAAUCUCAUGGUAUCUCAGUAAGUUCAGUAUUAAAAU
This 472-nucleotide long non-coding RNA is filed under the name Chinchilla lanigera (long-tailed chinchilla). Its description in RNAcentral is "lncRNA (ENSCLAG00000026751.1)". The record is from RNAcentral. Lineage: Eukaryota; Metazoa; Chordata; Mammalia; Rodentia; Chinchillidae.